CAGCUCAGCACUGCAGAAUGAGGCGGCCAUUUUCAGUGUGUCCACAGAGAGGCGCUGUGGCUCCACACAAAACCUCCCUCCGUUUUGCCCAUAGACUAUACCGUCUAUGGUUUUGCCUGGACGUCAUUUUUCGGUGUACCUGAGCGUCCACCUGCUCUGCUAAGUUCUGCUCACUCCCCCACCCAGAUACUAAUUGUGUGGGGAGGUAAACAUAGCAGUCAAGUGGAGAGGACGGCGAGUCAAGCGUGAAUAUCAAUCUCCCCACAUCAGUGUCAUCAGAUGACUUUGACUGAGUUGAGGCGGGCUCAUUAGAGCGCUGGAGCAGCGUGCCGCAGGCCGCAAUAACAUCCAGGUGGAGGCCUCCGAAGUUAUGGAAGCCUGCAGAGCUCUCUAACAGCUGCCUGGCUUACCUGUAUCUCCAGCUUCAUCAACCUCCUGAUGAAACCCAAACUGGCCCUUCUGCUGAUAAGCUCUCCAGGCUCUACCUGCCGUCUCCUGCUGCUGCCACACAUCACUUCAGGAAACUGAUGAACUGUACCAACCUCAGAUUAACCUCCCACCCCGUCUUUCUUUUUCUGCAAUCCCAGACCAUCACUGGAGGUUCCAGAAGAUCAAGCGUAAAGAGGAAGAAAGAUAUCAGAUAACAAGGCAGCGUGGAGGCACAAGCACGUGGUGUCACAUGCUUGGCGCUGCAACCACCGAGAAUGAAGUGACAGGCCACGGCGGAGCACAGGGACAGAAUCAAGAGUGGUGGCUUGGCCUUUAUAUCCAAUAGGAUCUUGGUUAGAGUAUACACCCCGCGGCUCUGAUGUCCUCUAUCUGCAGGUCCCUGUGGCUCCGUGGCAACGGGAGACUUGACGGCAGGACGGGGCAGCAAUUAUUCUCACUUCUGUUGGACGUUGGGCUCAGGCUCUUCUUGGUUGAUGCUCAAGAACACAAAUUGCCUUUUUGUUCAAAAGGCAAAAGUUGAAAUGUUUACAUCUCUUGAAACUUAUAACCUAAUCAUUAAAGGUGCCCUGCCACACAAA
This is a long non-coding RNA of Sander lucioperca (pikeperch), 1028 nucleotides long. RefSeq lists it as uncharacterized. NCBI's taxonomy places the organism in Eukaryota, Metazoa, Chordata, Actinopteri, Perciformes, Percidae. The record is from RefSeq and is a predicted model, not a curated record. The transcript has 7 exons.